AUUGAACGCUGGCGGCAUGCCUUACACAUGCAAGUCGAACGGUAACGGGCCUUCGGGUGCCGACGAGCGGCGAACGGGUGAGUAAUACAUCGGAACGUGCCCGAUCGUGGGGGAUAACGAGGCGAAAGCUUUGCUAAUACCGCAUACGAUCUACGGUUGAAAGCCGGGGACCGCAAGGCCUUGCGCGGACGGAGCGGCCGAUGGCAGAUUAGGUAGUUGGUGGGAUAAAAGUUUACCAAGCCGACGAUCUGUAGCUGGUCUGAGAGGAUGAUCAGCCACACUGGGACUGAGACACGGCCCAGACUCCUACGGGAGGCAGCAGUGGGGAAUUUUGGGCAAUGGGCGGAAGCCUGAUCCAGCCAUGCCGCGUGCGGGAUGAAGGCCUUCGGGUUGUAAACUGCUUUUGUACGGAACGAAAAGCCUUCUUUUAAUACAGGAGGGUCAUGACGGUACCGGAAGAAUAAGCACCGGCUAACUACGUG
This 482-nucleotide ribosomal RNA is filed under the name uncultured bacterium. Its description in RNAcentral is "partial 16S ribosomal RNA". It matches the Rfam family "Bacterial small subunit ribosomal RNA", at positions 30 to 507 of the family's 1533-position model. The record is from RNAcentral.